This 944-nucleotide long non-coding RNA is filed under the name Athene cunicularia (burrowing owl). RNAcentral's name for it is "lncRNA (ENSACUG00000006918.1)". The record is from RNAcentral. Lineage: Eukaryota; Metazoa; Chordata; Aves; Strigiformes; Strigidae.
AGGCUUUUAAUCACUUGAGUUAAUAUUUUUGAAUUUUAAUCUAUUGCUGAAUUUGUUUUUUUGUUUCGUUUUUUAAUUAGUCUUAUGGCAAGGACUUGGAAGAGUCAUCUAACUUCUUGGUGAUGGAAGCUGGGCCUAUGGGAAUGAAUAAGCAAGGAAAGACUGAACCACUCAAGCAGUGUGGAAGUGGUUCAGCAGUUGUAGAACAGAGCAACACAGUACCAGACUUUUGGCCAAGAGAAACUGAAGAUGUAAUGAGAAAGUCAUCCUCUCCUUUAACUUCUGCAGCUGACACGCAAUAUUUUUCACCUUUACCUCUUAAUGGAAGUCCUGUUUCUUCGCAAGAAAUUUCUCAAGAAAAAAUGGCUGUCUGCAGUCUUGGAAGAAAUUCAGUGCAAAAGGAGAGUGUUAACGUAAAGGCAUUGAGAAGAUCACUUAGCUCCUGUCAACUACCCGAGAAGAUCUGUAACCCUACUGAACUAAGGAGCAGCAGAUAUCUCCUCGAGACACAGCUGCAGAAAACCAACGAAGAUUCACAAGAACUGGACAGGGUCUGCAGUAGUCAGAGUCUGGUUUUGCCUGUCAUUGCAAAGUCUUCAGUGUUACAGGAUUUAGCCAAAAGACAGAAGUCUGCUUCUACACGGUAUUGGGGACUUGAAGGUUUCUUUGUUGUAGGUGCAAACCCUAAACAAGUGAUGCUUGAAGCAUGUUCUUCACUGUGUGCUGGCUCUGACCCUGCGGACAGGAGUAUCUCAUUUCCAGGAGCUGGGAAGUGGGUUACUGAAAGGAGCUUAAGUGAAUACGCUGAUGACUCUCUAGUUCAAGGUGUCUUAGAAAGUCAAUUGAACAGACCUUCAGGUGGUUUGGAGACUCAAAAUAGAAUUUCUCCCCUGAUGGUAGCGUGGCAGUCGCACUCAGGUAGGAGAGCAACAGCUUUGAAGUCC